AAACUGGAACGGACUGGGGGAAUUUAUACUCAGAACAAAUUUGACGACACCAGCAAAACCUCAGAGAUCGGCAGGAAAGAUGCAAUUUACUGCGCGAAUUGCCGAUGUUGCUAUGGAUCCAUAUGGAUGCCGUAGAUUCGUAAAAUAGAAAUAAGAGUAGGAAAAUUGCAGUUUAGAACAUGAAGAACCAGAGAGAACUAAAUAUAUAUUCAUAACGUAACCAAUUCUUUUCUUUUUGUGAAGUUGAAAACUAAAGAUUUUACGCAACUCCACAAUCAGAAGUUACAUAGAGGUAGGGGUGGUGAUCUCGGAGGUCAUGCUACUGGAGCACUUAGGGCAUUCAUAUAAUUGGAAAGGUAUUGACCCAGAACCACUGUAUUCGCUUCUGAAAUGGGAAGGAAAUUAAGUUCCCAAUAUAGCCUUUAUCUCUCUUUCAUUGUCUGUAAAUACAUCCCAUUUUCAACUAUUGAUGUAGGCAAAAAUGUUUGAAUUGCCGAAUAAGAAUCGUUUAUUUUUCUGUUCUUUAUUUAAUUUCAAACAAAAUUUUAAUAAGUAUCAUGAUAAUCUCACUUAUUUACAAAAUAAUUUCAUAAUCUUUUUACACGCAAACUUGACAUCAAUGCAACUCCGAUGCAUAACGGCAGCAAUACUGAUUAUUCCUCAAAUUUGAGAUAAAAUCUCAAAGGGAGUCACAUUUGAGUCAAAGUUUUCACAAACGUUUCCCACCAUAGACAAAAUAAUACAAUUUAAUUAAUACAGUAAUCGGACUCACUGACUUUGUUUAUUUGAGGAUGGAAAAAUAAUUUGUUAAAGUAAGAAUUGAAUGAGUGAGAAAUACUCUCGAAGCAAUACAUUAAUUGCUAAAAUGUUGGUAUAUUAAUAACACCCGAAAAUUUAAAUAGAGUGAAAUGAUGGUUAUUACCAUAUUUC
Molecule: long non-coding RNA, 930 nt
Organism: Dendroctonus ponderosae (mountain pine beetle)
Lineage: Eukaryota; Metazoa; Arthropoda; Insecta; Coleoptera; Curculionidae
Exons: 2
Source: RefSeq, a predicted model, not a curated record